RNAcentral lists this ribosomal RNA (416 nucleotides) under uncultured eukaryote. Its description in RNAcentral is "SSU rRNA". It matches the Rfam family "Eukaryotic small subunit ribosomal RNA", at positions 592 to 1009 of the family's 1831-position model. The record is from RNAcentral.
CAAUAGCGUAUAUUAAAGUUGUUGCGGUUAAAAAGCUCGUAGUUGGAUUUCUGCCGAGGACGACCGGUCCGCCCUCUGGGUGAGCAUCUGGCUCGGCCUGGGCAUCUUCUUGGAGAACGUAUCUGCACUUGACUGUGUGGUGCGGUAUUCAGGACUUUUACUUUGAGGAAAUUAGAGUGUUUCAAGCAGGCAUACGCCUUGAAUACAUUAGCAUGGAAUAAUAAGAUAGGACCUCGGUUCUAUUUUGUUGGUUUCUAGAUCUGAGGUAAUGAUUAAUAGGGAGUAGUUGGGGGCGAUUUAUAUUCCAUUGUCAGAGGUGAAAUUCUUGGAUUAACGGAAGAUAAACUACUGCGAAAGCAUCUGCCAAGGAUGUUUUCUAUUGAUCAAGAACGAAAGUUAGGGGAUCGAAGACGAUC